RNAcentral lists this ribosomal RNA (253 nucleotides) under uncultured bacterium. RNAcentral describes it as "partial 16S ribosomal RNA". It matches the Rfam family "Bacterial small subunit ribosomal RNA", at positions 524 to 776 of the family's 1533-position model. The record is from RNAcentral.
UACGAAGGGGGCUAGCGUUGUUCGGAAUUACUGGGCGUAAAGCGCACGUAGGCGGAUUUGUAAGUCAGGGGUGAAAUCCCGGGGCUCAACCUCGGAACUGCCUUUGAUACUGCGGAUCUCGAGUCCGAUAGAGGUGAGUGGAAUUCCUAGUGUAGAGGUGAAAUUCGUAGAUAUUAGGAAGAACACCAGUGGCGAAGGCGGCUCACUGGAUCGGUACUGACGCUGAGGUGCGAAAGCGUGGGGAGCAAACAGG